UCACCUGCUGCUCCACCUCACCUGUUCCUCAUCUCGUCAUUAGUGUCUGUGUAUCUAGUCUCUGUGAGUUUGUUGCUUCUGUUGGUGUGAUGUUCCUACCGAGUUCCUUGUGUCUCCAGUCUCCCAGUGGUUCGACUUCUAGAGGGCUGCCAAGCCUGUGAGCGCAUUUUGAGACUGAAUUUCAACACUUACAAGCCUGUCACACUCUGGAUGUUUUUUCAGGAGACCUUGGUGGUAUUUCCAGGACGUGGAAAGGCCCAGAAAUAAUGGAACCAGGCGUACCCCUGAGAUCCCAGGAUCAGUAUGACACUAUUGAAACACAUCUGAAAGAAAGGUUUUAAGGAAAGGGGGCAAAGAGACUGCUCAGAAUGUCCAACAGUGUAAAACCAGUAACUCUGAGAGCUGUAGCCUCAGGUUUGUCGGUGAGAACACAACAUCCACACUCUUCUGGCCCAUUCUCUGGACUCUUGUGACCCAGCACCCGUUCAGUGUGUAACAGUGAAUUCAUUUAUUUAAAUGUUUGUGUUACAAAGGCUGUGAAACAGUCUUGGCACCCCUGCUGAGACAACUCCUAACAAUUAUAUUAAAAUCAGAUAAUGUGACAUGUUGGUGUUGGA
Acanthopagrus latus (yellowfin seabream) is the source of this 617-nucleotide long non-coding RNA. RefSeq lists it as uncharacterized. The transcript has 3 exons. The record is from RefSeq and is a predicted model, not a curated record. Lineage: Eukaryota; Metazoa; Chordata; Actinopteri; Spariformes; Sparidae.